This 29-nucleotide non-coding RNA is filed under the name Homo sapiens (human). Lineage: Eukaryota; Metazoa; Chordata; Mammalia; Primates; Hominidae. The record is from RNAcentral.
AGCGGUUGAGGUUGCGGCUCACAGUGACU